UGGGGAAUUUUGGACAAUGGGGGCAACCCUGAUCCAGCCAUCCCGCGUGUGCGAUGAAGGCCUUCGGGUUGUAAAGCACUUUUGGCAGGGAAGAAACAGCCUGGGAUAAUACCCCGGGCGACUGACGGUACCUGCAGAAUAAGCACCGGCUAACUACGUGCCAGCAGCCGCGGUAAUACGUAGGGUGCAAGCGUUAAUCGGAAUUACUGGGCGUAAAGCGUGCGCAGGCGGUUCGGAAAGAAAGGUGUGAAAUCCCAGGGCUUAACCUUGGAACUGCACUUUUAACUACCGAGCUAGAGUACGUCAGAGGGGGGUAGAAUUCCACGUGUAGCAGUGAAAUGCGUAGAGAUGUGGAGGAAUACCGAUGGCGAAGGCAGCCCCCUGGGAUGAUACUGACGCUCAUGCACGAAAGCGUGGGGAGCAAACAGGAUUAGAUACCCUGGUAGUCCACGCCCUAAACGAUGUCAACUAGCUGUUGGGGUUUAUUAACCUUAGUAGCGCAGCUAACGCGUGAAGUUGACCGCCUGGGGAGUACGGUCGCAAGAUUAAAACUUAAAGUGAAUUAACGGGGGUCAUAGCUG
This 581-nucleotide ribosomal RNA is filed under the name uncultured bacterium. Its description in RNAcentral is "partial 16S ribosomal RNA". It matches the Rfam family "Bacterial small subunit ribosomal RNA", at positions 355 to 928 of the family's 1533-position model. The record is from RNAcentral.